This is a transfer RNA of Puccinia sorghi, 87 nucleotides long. It matches the Rfam family "tRNA". Rfam says of the family: Transfer RNA (tRNA) molecules are approximately 80 nucleotides in length. Their secondary structure includes four short double-helical elements and three loops (D, anti-codon, and T loops). The record is from Rfam. Lineage: Eukaryota; Fungi; Basidiomycota; Pucciniomycetes; Pucciniales; Pucciniaceae.
GGCCCUUUGGCCAAGUGGUAAGGUGUUCUCCUCCGGCGCACUAGCGUUCGCAGAGAAAGAUCGCAGGUUCAAUCCCUGCAUGGGUCG